UACAGAGGUCUCAAGCGUUGUUCGGAUUUACUGGGCGUAAAGGGCGCGUAGGCGGCCACCGCAGGUCGAUUGUGAAAUCUCCGGGCUUAACCCGGAAAGGUCAACCGAUACUGCGGGGCUAGAGUGCAGAAGGGGCAACUGGAAUUCUCGGUGUAGCGGUGAAAUGCGUAGAUAUCGAGAGGAACACCUGCGGCGAAGGCGGGUUGCUGGGCUGACACUGACGCUGAAGCGCGAAAGCUAGGGGAGCGAACGGG
This 254-nucleotide ribosomal RNA is filed under the name uncultured bacterium. Its description in RNAcentral is "partial 16S ribosomal RNA". It matches the Rfam family "Bacterial small subunit ribosomal RNA", at positions 524 to 776 of the family's 1533-position model. The record is from RNAcentral.